This 691-nucleotide ribosomal RNA is filed under the name Pseudomonas sp. c117(2012). RNAcentral's name for it is "bacterial SSU rRNA". It matches the Rfam family "Bacterial small subunit ribosomal RNA", at positions 57 to 743 of the family's 1533-position model. Lineage: Bacteria; Pseudomonadati; Pseudomonadota; Gammaproteobacteria; Pseudomonadales; Pseudomonadaceae. The record is from RNAcentral.
GCAAGUCGAGCGGAUGACGGGAGCUUGCUCCUUGAUUCAGCGGCGGACGGGUGAGUAAUACCUAGGAAUCUGCCUGAUAGUGGGGGACAACGUUUCGAAAGGAACGCUAAUACCGCAUACGUCCUACGGGAGAAAGCAGGGGACCUUCGGGCCUUGCGCUAUCAGAUGAGCCUAGGUCGGAUUAGCUAGUUGGUGAGGUAAUGGCUCACCAAGGCGACGAUCCGUAACUGGUCUGAGAGGAUGAUCAGUCACACUGGAACUGAGACACGGUCCAGACUCCUACGGGAGGCAGCAGUGGGGAAUAUUGGACAAUGGGCGAAAGCCUGAUCCAGCCAUGCCGCGUGUGUGAAGAAGGUCUUCGGAUUGUAAAGCACUUUAAGUUGGGAGGAAGGGCAGUAAGCUAAUACCUUGCUGUUUUGACGUUACCGACAGAAUAAGCACCGGCUAACUCUGUGCCAGCAGCCGCGGUAAUACAGAGGGUGCAAGCGUUAAUCGGAAUUACUGGGCGUAAAGCGCGCGUAGGUGGUUCGUUAAGUUGGAUGUGAAAUCCCCGGGCUCAACCUGGGAACUGCAUCCAAAACUGGCGAGCUAGAGUAGGGCAGAGGGUGGUGGAAUUUCCUGUGUAGCGGUGAAAUGCGUAGAUAUAGGAAGGAACACCAGUGGCGAAGGCGACCACCUGGGCUCAUACUGA